This 458-nucleotide ribosomal RNA is filed under the name uncultured sludge bacterium A12b. RNAcentral describes it as "bacterial SSU rRNA". It matches the Rfam family "Bacterial small subunit ribosomal RNA", at positions 338 to 795 of the family's 1533-position model. Lineage: Bacteria; Pseudomonadati; Bacteroidota. The record is from RNAcentral.
CCUACGGGUGGCAGCAGUAAGGAAUAUUGGUCAAUGGUUUAACAACUGAACCAGCGACGCCGCGUGUGGGAUGAAGGGGCUCUGCCUUGUAAACCACUGUCGGAUGGGACGAAAAGCGAGCUCCGCUCGCCCAGACGGUACCAUCAAAGGAAGGGUCGGCUAACUACGUGCCAGCAGCCGCGGUAAUACGUAGGACCCGAGCGUUGUCCGGAUUUACUGGGUGUAAAGGGUGCGUAGGCGGACAGGUGCGUCAGAGGUGAAAUUUCCCGGCUUAACUGGGAGGGUGCCUUUGAUACGGCUUGUCUUGAGUGCGAAAGAGGAUGAUGGAAUUCCUGGUGUAGCGGUGAAAUGCGUAGAUAUCAGGAGGAACACCAGUGGCGAAGGCGGUCAUCUGGUUCGCAACUGACGCUGAGGCACGAAAGCGUGGGGAUCAAACAGGAUUAGAUACCCCAGUAGUC